This 484-nucleotide ribosomal RNA is filed under the name uncultured bacterium. Its description in RNAcentral is "partial 16S ribosomal RNA". It matches the Rfam family "Bacterial small subunit ribosomal RNA", at positions 30 to 507 of the family's 1533-position model. The record is from RNAcentral.
AUUGAACGCCGGCGGUAGGCCUAACACAUGCAAGUCGAGCGGCUGAAGGGUGCUUGCUCCUGGUUACAGCGGCGGAGGGGUGGGUGGUGGCUAGGAACCUGCCUGUCUGUGGUGGAUUACGUCCGGACACGGGCGCUAAUACCGCAUACGUCCUGAGGGAGUACGUGGGGGAUCAUCGGAUCUUACGCUAUCAGAUGAUCCUAUGUCGGAUUAGCUAGUUGGCGGGGUAAAGGCGUACCAAGGCGACGAUCCGUAGCUGGUCUGAGAGGAUGAUCAGCCACACUGGAACUGAGACACGGUCCAGACUCCUACGGGAGGCAGCAGUGGGGAAUAUUGGACAAUGGGCGCAAGCCUGAUCCAGCCAUACCGCGUGGGUGAAGAAGGCCUUCGGGUUGUAAAGCCCUUUUGUUGGGAAAGAAAAGCAGCAGGUUAAUACCCCGCUGUUCUGACGGUACCCAAAGAAUAAGCACCGGCUAACUUCGUG